This 712-nucleotide ribosomal RNA is filed under the name Herpotrichiellaceae sp. A1044. RNAcentral's name for it is "SSU rRNA". It matches the Rfam family "Eukaryotic small subunit ribosomal RNA", at positions 48 to 771 of the family's 1831-position model. Lineage: Eukaryota; Fungi; Ascomycota; Eurotiomycetes; Chaetothyriales; Herpotrichiellaceae. The record is from RNAcentral.
GCCAUGCAUGUCUAAGUAUAAGCAAUCAUACUGUGAAACUGCGAAUGGCUCAUUAAAUCAGUUAUCGUUUAUUUGAUAGUACCUUUACCUGGAUAACCGUGGUAAUUCUAGAGCUAAUACAUGCUAAAAACCCCGACUUCGGGAGGGGUGUAUUUAUUAGAUAAAAAACCAAUGCCCUCUGGGCUCCUUGGUGAUUCAUAAUAACUUAACGAAUCGCAUGGCCUUGCGCCGGCGAUGGUUCAUUCAAAUUUCUGCCCUAUCAACUUUCGAUUGUAAGAUAGAGGCUUACAAUGGUCUUAACGGGUAACGGGGAAUUAGGGUUCUAUUCCGGAGAGGGAGCCUGAGAAACGGCUACCACAUCCAAGGAAGGCAGCAGGCGCGCAAAUUACCCAAUGCUAAUUCAGCGAGGUAGUGACAAUAAAUACUGAUACGGGGCUCUUUCGGGUCUCGUAAUUGGAAUGAGUACAAUCUAAAUCCCUUAACGAGGAACAAUUGGAGGGCAAGUCUGGUGCCAGCAGCCGCGGUAAUUCCAGCUCCAAUAGCGUAUAUUAAAGUUGUUGCCGUUAAAAAGCUCGUAGUUGAACCUUGGACCUGGCUGAUCUGUCCUCCUAAUCGAGCGCACGGAUUCGGUCGGGUCUUUCCUUCUGGGGAGCCCUAUGCCCUUCACUGGGUGUAGUGGGGAACCAGGACUUUUACCUUGAAAAAAUUAGAG